RNAcentral lists this ribosomal RNA (358 nucleotides) under uncultured bacterium. RNAcentral describes it as "bacterial SSU rRNA". It matches the Rfam family "Bacterial small subunit ribosomal RNA", at positions 527 to 886 of the family's 1533-position model. The record is from RNAcentral.
GGAGGAUCCAAGCGUUAUCCGGAUUCAUUGGGUUWAAAGGGUGCGUAGGCGGACUGAUAAGUCAGCGGUGAAAUCUCUCGGCUUAACCGAGAAACUGCCGUUGAUACUGUCAGUCUUGAGUACAGAUGAUGUGGGCGGAAUAUGACAUGUAGUGGUGAAAUACUUAGAUAUGUCAUAGAACACCGAUUGCGAAGGCAGCUCACAAAACUGUCACUGACGCUGAGGCACGAAAGCGUGGGGAUCAAACAGGAUUAGAUACCCUGGUAGUCCACGCCCUAAACGAUGAUUACUCGAUGUUGGCGAUACACCGUCCAGCGUCCAAGSGAAAGCGUUAAGUAAUCCACCUGGGAAGUACGGC